This 376-nucleotide ribosomal RNA is filed under the name Vibrio parahaemolyticus. RNAcentral's name for it is "bacterial SSU rRNA". It matches the Rfam family "Bacterial small subunit ribosomal RNA", at positions 73 to 451 of the family's 1533-position model. Lineage: Bacteria; Pseudomonadati; Pseudomonadota; Gammaproteobacteria; Vibrionales; Vibrionaceae. The record is from RNAcentral.
UCGGGGAACGAUAACGGCGUCGAGCGGCGGACGGGUGAGUAAUGCCUAGGAAAUUGCCCUGAUGUGGGGGAUAACCAUUGGAAACGAUGGCUAAUACCGCAUGAUGCCUACGGGCCAAAGAGGGGGACCUUCGGGCCUCUCGCGUCAGGAUAUGCCUAGGUGGGAUUAGCUAGUUGGUGAGGUAAGGGCUCACCAAGGCGACGAUCCCUAGCUGGUCUGAGAGGAUGAUCAGCCACACUGGAACUGAGACACGGUCCAGACUCCUACGGGAGGCAGCAGUGGGGAAUAUUGCACAAUGGGCGCAAGCCUGAUGCAGCCAUGCCGCGUGUGUGAAGAAGGCCUUCGGGUUGUAAAGCACUUUCAGUCGUGAGGAAGG